Molecule: long non-coding RNA, 2573 nt
Organism: Perca flavescens (yellow perch)
Lineage: Eukaryota; Metazoa; Chordata; Actinopteri; Perciformes; Percidae
Exons: 10
Source: RefSeq, a predicted model, not a curated record
AGGGGUUUCUAUGGGAUUCUGUGUGUCAUAUAGGCUCGGGGGUGUAAAGUAAAAGCUGUGAAAAUGUGAAAUCGCUCACUGUCGCCAUUUCUCCACCCCCCACAGAACUAGACCACCUCCCAGCUAAACGGGCCAGUUAGAAUUUGAUGUAUUUACUACGUAGAAACCGGGUAACCAAUGGGUGUCGUGUUCCAAAAUCGACCUAGCCCCGCCCCCUUUUCUAACGUUCGCUUUGUGCUGCUGAGAAGAAUUAGAAGAAGCGGGAGUCAUGUCUGGAGUUAAGUCGUCCCUGAAAACCCAUUAUGUCUAUGUGAAAACCGGCCACGAGAAAUGCGUCAUUCCAGGGUGCAGAGUAUCAAAUACAUCACUGCACUGCCUUCCAAAAGACAAAGAUGUCGCUGACAUGUGGAUGGAUUUUAUUUUUGGAGACUUGCCUCAACCUGUGCCGAGUCAGGCUUUUCGGCUAUGUACUGCACAUUUCUCACCGCAGUCCGUACUGAAUCAGGGGCUAUAUGAUGCUGGAGUCGUAUCAAAAUUACUGUUGAUGAAAGGAUCCAUUCAAACUAUUCGGCACACUAUCCCAAGCAUUGAAACGGGAGCCAUUAGACCCGUUUCCCAGGCCAAUACCUCCCGGAGUAUUGGCUGCCAGAAAAGAUCUGUUGGAACCCAACUAUCCAAGGACACUCUUAAGACCCACGUCAGAAGCAGAGCUUCUCAGACAAGUGUGGUCUGUGAGAAUGUGUGGUCUCCCCCACUUCUCACCUCAACACCCUUGAAGCCCCUUCCACCCAAAAAGAGGCCGCGACUGGAACUAGAGGAGGACGACGAUGAAUGGGAGGCCUCCACUGAGGCUACUGACCCUAAUGACUCCACUUUCAUUCAAAGUGUAUCAAUGACAACAGAGUCAUCGACUGUAUCUCAAGGAAUAUCCAAUAGCUAAGUGUCUCAAUUCUGAUGUGAAUAAUAUUUCUUAUGUUUGUUGUGCUUCUUUUCAUCUUUUUUUCCCCUUGCACAGACAAGCCUCACCACCAUAUGAUGUACCUAAAUAUAUUGUAUACGAAAACUGCCUCCUCGAGUUGUUUGAGUUAUGUCCAGUGUGCAGCUCCAUGUGUGAUGUCCGGAAAACUAUACGUGGGACUUUCCUUGCUGUUGAUCAGACGUGCCACCGUUGUGAGUUCAACAGACAGUCGAAGAGUCAACCGUUCAUCGGAAGUACACCUGCAGGGAACAUUCAUUUCUCUGCGGCUGUAUAUUUUACAGGGACAUCUUUCAUCCAAAUGAAAAAGGUUUUCAACGCGUUGGUGUGAAGAGCAUACAAUACCAAGCUUUCCGGAAACAUGCCAAAAGCUAUCUUGAACCUGCCAUUGUUUGGAAAUGGAAACGGGCCCAGCAGGUUGAGCUUCAAAGUUUAAGCCAGCAGAGCGAGGUCAUCAUUGGAGGAGAUAUGCGGGCAGAUUCUCCAGGCCAUUGUGCCAAAUUUGGAAGCUAUACCGUGAUGAAUCUUGAAACCAACACAGUAAUCGAUAUCCAACUUGUGCAGAGCAAUGAGGUCGGAGGGAGUUACUACAUGGAGAAGGAAGGUCUGAAGCGAAGCCUUGCUCUUCUGGAGGCAGGUGGUGUCACAUUGGACUGCAUAGUCAAAGACACCCCCAGAUUCAAAAAUACCUGAGAGAAAAGGGCAUCAAACAGUACUAUGACGUCUGGCAUAUUGAUAAGGGGAUGUCUAAGAACAUCAACAAACUUGCCAAGAAAAAGGAUUUUGAGGUGGUAAAAAAGUAUUCGGAACCAUCUACUGGACUGCAUCAUCAUCCAAGACGGGCCCAGAGAAGGUGGCAAAGUGGAUACCUGUCAUCAAUCACAUCCACAACAUUCACACACACGAAGACCCCCUUUUUACAAAGUGUGAGCACAGUGAUGUCAUAGAUAAGAGGAGGUGGUUGAAGCCAGGAUCAAAGGCUUCCUACAGACAAACAAGAGGUUCAUCAAGGGUGUGGAGAAGCUAAGCCCUCACCACCAAACAUCCUCUCUUGAGGCCUUCCACAGCGUUGUCAUCCGCUUUACACCAAAGAGUGUGGUGUACCCAUUCAUUGGGAUGCUUUACAGUGAGGUGAGCCAGUCUGAGCUCAGCUGGACCGACGACCUCAACGACGUUAGUGCAAGGAGGAGCAACAGCAGAGAUGAUCACAUUGCCCAGCUGCACCACUUUCUGCAGGAAGUUUUUGGAGAGAGCCGUUCACACCCUUAUCCAGCCGCAAAUAGUUUGAUGUGAUGUCCUACAGUAUCUGUUUUUUAUCACUCUGCUUUCUCAGGUUUUUCUUUGAUCAUCGUUGCGCUUGCUGCAACUGUUAUUAGACUAUUUCUACUACAGUUCAUAUCGUUUUAUUAUACCCACUGCUUUAAAUAUAAAUAUUUCUAUUGUUGCAUUAGUUGUUAUAAUGUUAACUUGCUAUUGUGGUUGCUGUUCAUCUGUUCCAUGAAUGCCUGUUACCUAGCAUCUUUAUUAGGAUUUUGGUGGUUCUGCUGACACCCAUUAUUAUUAUAGUUCAUGUCAUUAUUAUAUGCCUCUCUCUCUC